AGUGAACGCUGGCGGUAGGCCUAACACAUGCAAGUCGAACGGCAGCACAGUAAGAGCUUGCUCUUACGGGUGGCGAGUGGCGGACGGGUGAGGAAUACAUCGGAAUCUACUUUUUCGUGGGUGAUAACGUAGGGAAACUUACGCUAAUACCGCAUACGACCUACGGGUGAAAGCAGGGGAUCUUCGGACCUUGCGCGAUUGAAUGAGCCGAUGUCGGAUUAGCUAGUUGGCGGGGUAAAGGCCCACCAAGGCGACGAUCCGUAGCUGGUCUGAGAGGAUGAUCAGCCACACGGGAACUGAGACACGGUCCAGACUCCUACGGGAGGCAGCAGUGGGGAAUAUUGGACAAUGGGCGAAAGCCUGAUCCAGCCAUACCGCGUGGGUGAAGAAGGCCUUCGGGUUGUAAAGCCCUUUUGUUGGGAAAGAAAAGCAGCAGGUUAAUACCCCGCUGUUCUGACGGUACCCAAAGAAUAAGCACCGGCUAACUUCGUG
RNAcentral lists this ribosomal RNA (492 nucleotides) under uncultured bacterium. RNAcentral describes it as "partial 16S ribosomal RNA". It matches the Rfam family "Bacterial small subunit ribosomal RNA", at positions 29 to 507 of the family's 1533-position model. The record is from RNAcentral.